RNAcentral lists this ribosomal RNA (278 nucleotides) under uncultured bacterium. RNAcentral describes it as "partial 16S ribosomal RNA". It matches the Rfam family "Bacterial small subunit ribosomal RNA", at positions 335 to 629 of the family's 1533-position model. The record is from RNAcentral.
UGUACCUACGGGACGCAGCAGUGGGGAAUAUUGGGCAAUGGGCGCAAGCCUGACCCAGCAACGCCGCGUGAAGGAAGACGGUUUUCGGAUUGUAAACUUCUGUUCUUAGUGAAGAAGAAUGACGGUAGCUAAGGAGCAAGCCACGGCUAACUACGUGCCAGCAGCCGCGGUAAUACGUAGGGAGCGAGCGUUGUCCGGAAUUACUGGGUGUAAAGGGAGCGUAGGCGGGGAUGCAAGUUGGGUGUCAAAACUACCGGCUCAACUGGUAGUCGCACUCA